AUGGAACCAUUGAUCGCUACAAAGCCAGACUUGUUGCAAAGGGCUUUAAACAACGGUACGGCAUUGACUAUGAGGACGCCAUUAGUCCAGUUGUUAAAGCUGCAACCAUUCGUCUUGUGCUCCUAUUGUUGUUUCCAGGGGAUGGAGCCUUCGACAGCUAGAUGUAGAGAAUGCGUUCCUGCAUGGCUGGAAGAGGAAGUGUAUAUGAAACAACCUCCUGGUUUUGAGAACAAGAACAAACCCUUUCAUAUGUGCAAGCUUGAUAAAGCAUUAUAUGGACUCAAACAAGCUCCCAGGGCGUGGUACUCCAGACUAAGUCACAAAUUGCAAACUCUUGGCUUUGUUCCUUCUAAGUCUGACACAUCCUUGUUUAUUUACAACAAGUUGAAAACAUCCAUAUUCGUUCUUAUAUAUGUUGAUGAUAUUAUUGUCACAAGCUCAUCUAAUGAGGCUAUAUCAGGACUGUUGAAGGAUUUAAAUGCUGAGUUUGCUCUCAAGGAUCUGGGUGACUUGCAUUUCUUCCUAGGGAUUGAAGUCAAGAAACAAGGCAACAGUCUUCAUCUCUCUCAGGAAAAGUAUGCCACUGAUCUGGUAAGAAGAGUUGGGUUACAGGGAUGUAAAUCUUCACCAACUCCACUGUCCAGCAUAGAAAAAUUGUCACUUACAGAAGGAAAGCCCUUGGGUCAAGAUGACAGUACCAGGUACAGAAGCUUGGUAGGUGCACUUCAGUAUCCAACCUUGACAAGACCUGAUCUUUCAUUUGCAGUAAACAAGGUUUGUCAGUUUCUUCAUGCACCCACUACAACACAUUGGACAGCUGCUAAACGUAUAGUGAGAUAUGUGAAAGAUACAAUUAAUCUUGGCCUCACUUUCAACAAGUCUUCAUCUACACUUGUUAGUGCAUUUUCUGAUUCUGACUGGGCAGGAUGUUUAGAUGAUAGACGAUCUACUAGUGGUUUUGCAGUAUUCUUUGGUCCAAACUUAAUAUCAUGGUGUGCAAAGAAACAAGCCACUGUAUCAAGGUCCAGUACUGAAGCUGAGUACAAAGCCUUGGCAAAUGCCACAGCUGAAAUUAUUUGGGUUCAGCCCAUGCUACGAGAGCUUGGUGUGAAGACUACUCAAGCUCCAUGUUUAUGGUGUGAUAAUCUUGGUGCUACUUAUCUGUCUGCUAACCCUGUCUUUCAUGCAAGGACAAAACAUAUUGAGAUUGAUUUCCACUUUGUUUGA
RNAcentral lists this ribosomal RNA (1227 nucleotides) under Triticum aestivum (bread wheat). Its description in RNAcentral is "partial small subunit ribosomal RNA". The record is from RNAcentral. Lineage: Eukaryota; Viridiplantae; Streptophyta; Magnoliopsida; Poales; Poaceae.